RNAcentral lists this ribosomal RNA (1167 nucleotides) under Saccharomyces cerevisiae (brewer's yeast). Lineage: Eukaryota; Fungi; Ascomycota; Saccharomycetes; Saccharomycetales; Saccharomycetaceae. The record is from RNAcentral.
AUGAAAUUAAAAUUAUUAAAUAUAAUUUUAUCAAUAAUAAAUAAACUUAAUAAUAAUAAUAAUAUUAUUAUUAAUAAUCUAUUAGAUUCAUUAAUAAAUAAGAAAUUAUUAUUAAAGAAUAUAUUAUUAGAUAUAAAUAAUAAAAAAAUAAAUAAUAUAAAAAGAAUAUUAAAUAAUAAUAAUAUAAAUAUUAAUAAUAAAUUACAACAUUUAAAUAAUAUAAAUAAUUGAAAUCUACAAAUUUAUAAUUAUAAUAAAAAUAUAGAAAUUAUAAAUACUAUAAAUGAUAAAUUAAUUAAUAAAUUAUUAUAUAAAAUAAUAACUUUAAAAUUAAAUAAUAUAAAUAUUAAUAAAAUUAUUAUAAGUAAACUUAUUAAUCAACAUAGUUUAAAUAAAUUAAAUAUUAAAUUUUAUUAUUAUAAUAAUGAUAUUAAUAAUAAUAAUAAUAAUAAUAAUAAUAAUAAUAAUAAUUAUUAUAUAAAUAUAAUAAAUAAAUUAAUAAAUAUUAUAAAUAAUAAUAUAAAUAAUAAUUUAUGUAAUAUUUUAAGUUAUUAUUAUAAUAAAAAAGUAACUAUUGAACCUAUUAAAUUAUCAUAUAUUUAUUUAAAUAGUGAUAUUUUUAGUAAAUAUAUUAGUUUAAAUGAUAUAGAUAAAUAUAAUAAUGGUAUCUUAACUAAUUAUCAACGUAUAUUAAAUAAUAUUAUGCCUAAAUUAAAUGAUCAUAAUAUUUCUAUAAAUUAUAUUAAUAAUAUUAAUAAUAUUAAUAAUAAUAAAUAUAAUAAUAUAAUUAAUUUAUUAAAUAAUAAUAAUAAUAAUAAUAAUAUUAAUAAUAAUAAUAAUUAUAAUAAUAAUAAUAAUAAUUAUAUUGGUAAUAUUAAUAAUAUUUAUAAUAAUAUAACUAUUGAUAAUAUUCCUAUAGAUAUUUUAAUAUAUAAAUAUUUAGUUGGUUGAUCUAUUAAAUUUAAAGGUAGAUUAAGUAAUAAUAAUGGUAGAACUAGUACACUUAAUUUAUUAAAUGGUACUUUUAAUAAUAAAAAAUAUUUAUGAAGUAAUAUUAAUAAUAAUUAUAAAUUAAAUUAUAUCCCUUCUAAUCAUAAUUUAUAUAAUAAUUCUAAUAUUAAUAAAAAUGGUAAAUAUAAUAUUAAAGUUAAAUUAAACUUUAUUUAA